AGUGAACGCUGGCGGUAGGCCUAACACAUGCAAGUCGAACGGCGGCACAGUAAGAGCUUGCUCUUACGGGUGGCGAGUGGCGGACGGGUGAGGAAUACAUCGGAAUCUACUUUUUCGUGGGGGAUAACGUAGGGAAACUUACGCUAAUACCGCAUACGACCUACGGGUGAAAGCAGGGGAUCUUCGGACCUUGCGCGAUUGAAUGAGCCGAUGUCGGAUUAGCUAGUUGGCGGGGUAAAGGCCCACCAAGGCGACGAUCCGUAGCUGGUCUGAGAGGAUGAUCAGCCACACUGGUACUGAGACACGGUCCAGACUCCUACGGGAGGCAGCAGUGGGGAAUAUUGGACAAUGGGCGCAAGCCUGAUCCAGCCAUACCGCGUGGGUGAAGAAGGCCUUCGGGUUGUAAAGCCCUUUUGUUGGGAAAGAAAAGCAGCAGGUUAAUACCCCGCUGUUCUGACGGUACCCAAAGAAUAAGCACCGGCUAACUUCGUG
RNAcentral lists this ribosomal RNA (492 nucleotides) under uncultured bacterium. RNAcentral's name for it is "partial 16S ribosomal RNA". It matches the Rfam family "Bacterial small subunit ribosomal RNA", at positions 29 to 507 of the family's 1533-position model. The record is from RNAcentral.